Molecule: ribosomal RNA, 555 nt
Filed under: uncultured bacterium
Lineage: Bacteria
Description: partial 16S ribosomal RNA
Rfam family: Bacterial small subunit ribosomal RNA
Source: RNAcentral
UAGGGAAUCUUCCACAAUGGACGCAAGUCUGAUGGAGCAACGCCGCGUGAGUGAAGAAGGUUUUCGGACCGUAAAGCUCUGUUGUUGGUGAAGAAGGAUAGAGGUAGUAACUGGCCUUUAUUUGACGGUAAUCAACCAGAAAGUCACGGCUAACUACGUGCCAGCAGCCGCGGUAAUACGUAGGUGGCAAGCGUUGUCCGGAUUUAUUGGGCGUAAAGCGAGCGCAGGCGGAAGAAUAAGUCUGAUGUGAAAGCCCUCGGCUUAACCGAGGAAUUGCAUCGGAAACUGUUUUCUUGAGUGCAGAAGAGGAGAGUAGAACUCCAUGUGUAGCGGUGGAAUGCGUAGAUAUAUGGAAGAAUACCAGUGGCGAAGGCGGCUCUCUGGUCUGCAACUGACGCUGAGGCUCGAAAGCAUGGGUAGCGAACAGGAUUAGAUACCCCUGGUAGUCCAUGCCGUAAACGAUGAGUGCUAAGUGUUGGGAGGCUUCCGCCUCUCAGUGCUGCAGCUAACGCAUUAAGCACUCCGCCUGGGGGAGUACGACCGCAAGGUUGAAAC